Molecule: ribosomal RNA, 253 nt
Filed under: uncultured bacterium
Lineage: Bacteria
Description: partial 16S ribosomal RNA
Rfam family: Bacterial small subunit ribosomal RNA
Source: RNAcentral
GACGAAGGGGGCUAGCGUUGUUCGGAAUUACUGGUCGUAAAGCGUGUGCAGGUGGUUGUCAUAGUCAGGUGUGAAAGCCUUGAGCUCAACUCAAGAAAUGCACUUGAUACUGGGCAGCUAGAGGACCGGAGAGGAUAGUGGAAUUCCCAGUGUAGUGGUGAAAUACGUAGAGAUUGGGAAGAACACCAGUGGCGAAGGCGGCUAUCUGGACGGUUUCUGACACUAAGACACGAAAGCGUGGGGAGCAAACAGG